CACAAUAAGUUUUUUCUUUGAAGCACAAUUCAUUAGAUAUUUACGCACCGCUCGGCCCUUAGAGGUCUUUGUUGGCCACCGAGAUGCGAGAUGAGUGUGAUGUGAGUGUGCAAAUACGUUUGUAUAAACGAAGAGUGGCUGCAUUUUUAUGGGCCUGUGUAGCACACGUGUGUACCAGUGAGUGAUAGCGCGCACUUGGGUGCAUGUGGACGCUUGUGCUUGAGAAGGAUUGUUGCGCAUAAGCGUUGAGUACACGUGUGCACGUGUAAAGUGUGUGCAUGUGUUACAUGUAAACACGUGUCUCAUGUGAGUGUGCGUGUGCAGAAGUCCGUACGUGUUUAAGAGCAACGUACACUUGUGUGUGAGCCUGAGCUCACACGUGGUUCGUUUGUCCAUGUGUGCAUGUGAAACUCAGCGAAGAAGUCCCUGAAACCUCCGGUCUCGUGGAAGGAAAGGCGCAGGCAGGAAUCGAGGACUGAGCACCCCAUGGCAAGAGUCGAAACUGCCGCUCCUUCGGCCCGCAGGCAGCCGGAAGCCGCCUACCGGGCUCGGGACUGGCCCGGAGGUCGUGGGUCAGCCCCCAGCUCGGCUCCGGCCCAGCCAGGCGGAUUCCCACUGGGGCCCACCAAUUACCAGGACUGCACUCGAAAUAAUCCCUGCUGGGCAGUUCGGGAGCUCUUAAUUGUUCCUCGCGGACAGUUUCUAAUUAUCGAUACCGUGUGUCCUAAAGGAGACCGCUUCCGGGUUAUUUGCUUAUGUUUUUAUUAUCUUUAUCACCGUCAUUAUUUGGUGGCUGUAUGAAGAUAGUGCCAAGCCCACCUAGACCGCCCUGCCCCGCCUCUCCGGCGCCGCCCUGGGCGUGCGGGUUACCCGCAGACACCGGAAUCUUCCCUUACGUGGAGCCACAGCGCCACCUCGCGAUCCCCCAGCCUCCCUCCGGUCACUGCCACCCAAAUUUCCAGUACUGGUGGGUUUUCCAUUCGCUUUCGCCGUUCCUCUUUCCCUAUCUAGAACGGUCCACAUGGCUGUGGACCCAACAUGCCUUGAGAUCCUAACAUGCCUUGCUAAGCAGCUUUGUACACGACCGGAAUGCCUAUACCCGGUCUCCACCUGGAGAAAUUCUCUCUUUAAAAUCACUAACACAGAGUUCACCUCUUUCAUAAAACCUUUCCAGAUCCCUUCUAGGAAGUCAUUCGUGCCUUUCCCUGAUUUCCCUGGUGCUUGUAUCACAUUGGACAGAAAAUAUUGUUUAAAAAUCUCUUUCCCCUCCAUAAUCAAGGAGCUCACCUACAGUCACUAUUUUGCUUAUAGCAACAAUAGUAACAGUAAAACCUGGUAUUAACUGAACGCACUCUAUGGAGCAUCUUAUGCAAUGUGCUAUGCUAAGCAUUUUAUUCAUUACCGCGUUUAAUUUUCCCAGCAAAACCGUGAAGUAAGCACCAAUAUAAUUUCCCAGUUUUCAGAUGAGGCCAGAGAGUUCCUGUCUAAGGUUGUAUUGCAGAACCCAACCCAAGUCUGUCUGUCUGAUUUUUCUUAACCUCUUUUCUUAACAUCUGUGCCUUGCAGACUUAUUCAGCUCUAUAUCCACAGGCUUUAAGAUAGGACCAGGCACAGAGUGGACAUUCAUAUAUUUAUGAAUAAAUGAACCACUGCCAAUACAAAUCUUUUCUUCUCCAAGAGAGUUGGGCUAGAAAAACACUGCAGUUACCAGAUACCUUGAUUGAAGUGUUACCACAAUGAUUUAUCCCAAAAGAGUAUUCCACUACUAACUAGCUAAGUGACCUUGGUCAAGUCACUUCAUCCUCAAUUCCUCAUUUUUAAAAGUAGGUUUUCUGUGAGUAUUAAAUGAGGGAAAAAAUGUGAGGUACUUGAUAUAGCCCCUUGUACUGUAAUCAACACUCAGCGAAAGUGUGCUAUUAAUAUAAUUAUUAAUGAGAGUUUUAAAAACUAAAGCACAGAACACCAAAUUGACUUACCCCUAGCCACAUAGAAUUCACCAUACCUCUAUAUAAAAUUAUCUCACUAUUAUAUCUUCAUUUUCAUCCUGGACAUAAAAUAUGUAAUAAAAUAUGUUUAGUUUAUUGUGGUUGGGGUGUUAAUGUUAACCCUGCUCUGUUAUAAAAUUUUAAGGGGCAGGGGGGAAAGAUAUAAUUAAACAGUAAAUCAGCAGGCUUUGACUCUCACCCUUUCCUCUUGCUUUGUAGCUUUUUACCAAGAAAGAUUUAAAGAAAGACUAUAAAAGUGCUUAUUAUUCUGGAAAGUACAAAACUCUAUUUUUUAAUUUAGGGGACAUUCUGAGCUAGUUUGAGUUUUUCCCACUUGAAACACUUUGUUGCUAGUGAUACACUAAAAGUUUAAAAAUAUGUAUCUAAGCAAAUGAUUGUCCCCAAAUAAAAAAGAAAUGAUGGUUGUCUAAACAUAUCCCAGACUUUCAGACAUUUCCCAAAAAGGCUAAGUUUUAGAGGUUCAGGGUCUCUUUUCAGAGUGACUCAUUAGAUAAUUACUACUUAUUAGCAUCUAAGCGAAAAUGAACUUUUCUGUCUGAUCAGGCUAUAACUUUCCUACUAUCAAAUUCUUUUGGAAGACUAUUGACCAAUACAGUUAUGUCAUAAAGACACAAAAAGAGCCUGAUAAAAUCCACAAAAGGCACAAGUGUGUCUCCCCAUUUAGCUGGCCCACAGCGCAUUUCCAGAAACUUUAUCCCAACCCCAAUUUAUUUUAGUUCAUUUGUACCUGCUUCUCUUUCUAUGCAAUACUCUUGUAUGAAGAUGAAGAAACAAAUUCAGGAAACUUUAUCAGCAACAAAUUAAUGUGUUAAGAGAUUUUAUUGCAUAGCUGCCACAUAUUUUAUUAUCCUUGAUUGGGGAUUUGAUUCGUAUUGACUGUGCGAGACCCUGUCUUCUUGACAGUUUGGGGAGGGAGCAUGUCUAUUCUGUUUUCUUUUCUUCUUUAUGUCUAGAAUGGUCUCCAUUAGCGAUGUUCACUAAAAUUAUGGCUUCCCUACUUCCAGGUGCACAGUAGGAGUAAAGUAUUCUGAUUCUUCUGCAUUUAGAUGCAACCCUAUUGUUUGCUUUGAUAAAUUGAGAAUUAUCAGUAAUAUGUGCUAUUUAGAGGCAAAAGCUUUAAGAUCCAAUGUGCAAUUCGCCAAUUCACCUUCCCCAUGCCACAGCCUCCAGUGACCCCCCAGAUGGAGUUUCCUUCAGCCUGCCACUCUUUGCAAAGAUAAUGUGGAGUGGAGACCUCUCCAACCCACAGUGAACAUUUAACAUGAAUGUGAAAUAAUCUUUUGUUACUAUAAGUCCCAGAGAUUUUUUAUGGCAGCAUAACUGAGCCUUUCCUGACUAAUAUGCCUAGGAAGGAAGCUCACAUUUCUUUUUCUUCCUUCCUUUUUUUCUUUUUUCCUUCCUCCCUCCCUCCCUCGUUCCCUCCUUCUCUCUCUUUCCUUCUUUCUUUUUCUUUCUUCCUUUUUUUUGUGGACAAUGUGGAAAUUCUUCUCCUAGAGUGUAAGACUUCCACAUCUAAUUAAAUAAUCAGAUAAUGCAAUUAUUCAGUUAGAAGCCUGUAUCUCGUUUUCUUACUCAAUUCAUACAUCUCCUAUGGGUCAAAACAUCAUUUAGAAAACUCUGAAAUGGAAAACAACAACUGAAUUUUAGAAGCACUGAAAAAGAAUCUCAGAGUCAUUGCUAGAUCUCCACAGGAAUUUCUUGGGGGCUUGCUGCCUGCUUGCAUAUUCACAAUGAAGGGUGUGCCAUAGGCUGUGAUCCAAAGAGCUUUUGUCAGCGAUUAUAUGAGGGGACAGAUAAACAUGUCUUCCUUCAGUGUUUAAUUUCCUUCGGUCCAUAAUUUCAGGAUGGUGAAGGGGAAAAAUAUUUGGCUAAUCAACUUGUAUUUAAGGAACAUGACCUAUGGCAAGUUAUUUAACUUUUCUAGACCUUACUUUCACCAUCUGGAAAAUAAGAGUAGGAGAUCAGACAAUCUUCAGGAUGCCAUCCAGUUCUAAUCAGCUGGAAUUCUGAGAUAUUUGGGUGAUUAUCAGUUUCAGGAGUCCAUGCUAAGUAUAGAAUCUUCUUGUGUUUCUAUCCUCAGCAUUAUUUUGUGAAACAUUUUAAAUUUUUCAUGCUGAGCCCAACUUAAAACAACUGCUUCUUGGGCAAGAUAGAUAGUGCUUCUUCUCUUCCACCUCAAAUUUUUUUAAUGUUGGAAUCUGCUAGAAGAGUGGGCCAUAUAGAUUUGGGGCCAUGUAAAAUGGUUUGUCACUUUCUAGUCAAGAGGGAAAUUUUUCUUUUUCUUUUUCUUCUUCUUUCUUUUUUUUCUUUAUCUUUUUCUUUCUUUCCUUUUGAGAGGUAUUUUCUUCAGGUUUCAUUAUCAGACUACCUAAGGAAAUUUCUUGUGAAUUUUCAGGAAACUUUUGAGACAAAAUAUUGAUUGUGUGACAAAUGCUGUGGAGUGAAAUCAUUGCUAAUUAUUCUUUAUUCUUAAUGUGGUAUGACUGAUUGCCAGAAACAAUACUAUUACCUUCAUUUGGAUAAUAAUUUAUGGUUGACAAAGAGUUAUUGCCUUGAUUCCGCUCAAUGAACCAUGCCAACUGACAUUUCUCCCCUAUUUCACAGAGGAGCUGAGGUUUUGAUUUGCCCGUGGCGUGUGGCUAGCAAGCAGUGGGGCUUGACUGUAACCCAGGAGCCACACUGCCUAUGAAAUUAAGAAAGCUGUCUGCUACCUUACUUACUUCUGUCAACCAAUUCCUGGUUUCUCUCUUCUCUGGCCCUCUCUUUGAAGUUAGUGUGGUCAUCUGACUUCGUUGAGCCAGAGCAUUUACUUAAAGGAACAAAGAGGAAAGAGUGACUAGAAGACUCUAGUGCAGAGUUGGUCUCUGGAGAACUGCUGUAUGUCUUACUCCUGGGCCAUUGCUAGACUGCAUUUCUCAACAUCCCUACCAGCUGCUUUGGCUAUAUGACUGAGUUCUGGCGAACGAAAAGUAGGUGGGAUUGAUGGAAGCCAUUUUCAGAUAUAGUUCAUAAAAACCUCCCACACAGUCUUGCACUCCUCUUCCUCCCCCUCUGCGGACUAAUCAGAAAAUCCAAGGUGAUAUUCCAAUGCUAGGGCAGGCUUAGCAAAGGUUUUCUGUCAAGAUCCUGAUAGGCAAUAUUUUAUAAUUCAUGAGCCUGUUGCAACUACCUUAGUGUGAGAGCAGCUACAAAGCACAGGUGAUACAUGAUGAAUCGGUGUGGCUGUGUCUCAAUAAAACUUUAUUUACAAAGAAAAAAUUUAUAAAAACUCUAGAUCAAAUUUGGUCCAUGAGUCAUAGAUUGCUGACCCUGCUCUAGGAUAUGUCAGAAUCACAACGUAGAAGGAUUCUGGCCCCUAAAUGACUGCAUGGGGAAAUAAACUUUAUACAAGCAAGAAAUAAACUUCUCUUAUGUUAAGUCAUUGA
Molecule: long non-coding RNA, 5431 nt
Organism: Neofelis nebulosa (Clouded leopard)
Lineage: Eukaryota; Metazoa; Chordata; Mammalia; Carnivora; Felidae
Exons: 2
Source: RefSeq, a predicted model, not a curated record